GCCCGGCUAGCUCAAUCGGUAGAGCGUGAGACUCUUAAGUCCUAGUUCAUCUCAAGGUUGUGGGUUCGACCCCCACGUCGGGCU
This 84-nucleotide transfer RNA is filed under the name Thermothelomyces thermophilus ATCC 42464. Its description in RNAcentral is "Myceliophthora thermophila ATCC 42464 tRNA". It matches the Rfam family "tRNA". From Rfam's summary of the family: Transfer RNA (tRNA) molecules are approximately 80 nucleotides in length. Their secondary structure includes four short double-helical elements and three loops (D, anti-codon, and T loops). Further hydrogen bonds mediate the characteristic L-shaped molecular structure. tRNAs have two regions of fundamental functional importance: the anti-codon, which is responsible for specific mRNA codon recognition, and the 3' end, to which the tRNAs corresponding amino acid is attached (by aminoacyl-tRNA synthetases). tRNAs cope with the degeneracy of the genetic code in two manners: having more than one tRNA (with a specific anti-codon) for a particular amino acid; and 'wobble' base-pairing, i.e. permitting non-standard base-pairing at the 3rd anti-codon position. The record is from Rfam by way of RNAcentral. Lineage: Eukaryota; Fungi; Ascomycota; Sordariomycetes; Sordariales; Chaetomiaceae. RNAcentral also lists the same sequence under 2 other names.